This 537-nucleotide long non-coding RNA is filed under the name Struthio camelus australis. RNAcentral's name for it is "lncRNA (ENSSCUG00000004429.1)". The record is from RNAcentral. Lineage: Eukaryota; Metazoa; Chordata; Aves; Struthioniformes; Struthionidae.
AGCAGUGGGAGACAGGUAAGACCCACUGGGGGGGGACACAUUGCCAUGCCUUACUGCAGCGACGCUUUCUCGGUAAACGGCAAAAUAAUAAUAAUUUGCUAUGUGUUAACCGUAUAGUUUUCCCACAUGAUUUUUGGGUGCGAUCUGAGAGAGUUGUUAGUUAAACGACGCUGCAGCGGCACUCACGGCUUCUUGUCUGUCUCCAGGUUCGACUUCCAGCAAGCGGAAGCGGGUGAGCAGAGGCAGGACGAGGGCCAGCACGCUCAGCCGGCGGCGGGGUGCCAAGCUGGCCCCCGCCCCCCAGCCGGAGGCCUCCACUCCCACCAAAGUGACCUGUGUUUAGUCCAGGAGCUCAGCUCCCUCUCCUUGCUAAAACGGAUUCCGCUCAGGGGCUUGGCGUUUGAGUGGGAAGGCCAUGGGUUCUAACGAAGAAGGUUCAAAAAUAAUUCAAUGAGUGUCAAAACUGCAACUGCACGGUGCAGCUUAAGACAUCUGGCGGGUAGGUGCACGGACCGAACCGUAAGCUCCGUUCCACGC